RNAcentral lists this long non-coding RNA (1239 nucleotides) under Dermacentor andersoni. Its description in RNAcentral is "uncharacterized LOC126518077". Lineage: Eukaryota; Metazoa; Arthropoda; Arachnida; Ixodida; Ixodidae. The record is from RNAcentral.
GCUGGUACAUACAAACAAUGUUGCCGUAUACAAAUGAUGCUGCCAUGUCUGCAUUUCUUUUCUCAAAACUCGGCUCGCGAUGGCCGAUUGCUCCUCGUUAGUGGCGAAACGAAGGAUUACUGCCAGUUUCUGACUCGCUUGGUUUUUCUGACAGCCGUGCAACCAUAUGGUUGUCUCGUGUACGCUCACACACCCAAUUCGAUUACGCUAUGGGCGUGCGCACCGGAUUCUCUGGUGCAAGUGAGCCGAGUGGCAAUUCCUCCGAUGUGGACCACUACCCAAUUGCCGAAUCAAACAAUAUGUAUUUCUGCGUAUGUACUUUUUUUAUUGUUAUUAAAUGUAUUUAUGGAAAGCCCAUCUGGGUCCGUAUUCUGAGACGACCCACUUCGGCGAUACUAUCGCCUUGGCCAGGCCUCCAUCAAUGUCGCACGCUGAUUGGCUGUUUUAGCGAAACCAGAAAAUAAAUAGCGCCAUCCAGUAGUUCUGGUCUGUAUCAAUUUGACGUUACGGUGUUGGUGGGUGCUCCCAUAUAUAUUGAGUAAACGACUGCGUCUUUUCGUGGUCGGUUGCUGGUGUAGUGUAGAGUAUCUUUUGAUGGCAGUUUGCACGUAGUUUUGCACAGUGAUAUUUGUUGACUGUUGAUCGGCUAUUGCAUAGUGUUACCUUGUGUAAGUGACAAUUUUUGGUGUCGGUGUCUCGGAACAGCUGGCAGCGGCACCAUCAACAACACAUUGCUCGCAUGGUUAGUGGUAUCUGGUUGGUGGUGAAGCGUAGUAGAGACAAGUCAGACGAUGUCACUCCGGUGGUGCACGAUGGCUGACACACAGAAGCAGAAACAUUGUGUCACUUUAUAAUAUGCCAUCAAAAAUGUGUUUAGCAACUGCAUGAGUUGUAACAAAAUUUUUUUCAUUAAAAUUAACCAUUUCACGCUCCCUUUUUCAAUUUAUUUUACCUAAAGUGGUCGUGGCCAAGCGUACUUGGUGUGCAGAACCCAUACUGUGGCCAUCGCACUCCAAUGCAACACACCCGAGCCACUCUGUACUCACGCGGUGCGCUCUCUUGUGCGUUGUGAAGCAUUCGAGGGCGCCUGUUGGUAGUGCAUGCUGUCGUCACAGGUGGGAAAUGUGGUCCUCUGCUCCAAGAAGAGGGGUUGGUUUGGUAUGAGCAAAUGACGUACAGCAUACCUUUGUGAAAUUAAUAUUCCGACCAAUUCAAAUAAAUCUUAAGAUUUUUGGCUGG